This 408-nucleotide ribosomal RNA is filed under the name Amblyomma maculatum (Gulf Coast tick). Its description in RNAcentral is "partial small subunit ribosomal RNA". The record is from RNAcentral. Lineage: Eukaryota; Metazoa; Arthropoda; Arachnida; Ixodida; Ixodidae.
AGUAUUUUGACUAUACAAAGGUAUUGAAAUAAGACUUUAAUUGAGUGCUAAGAGAAUGGAAUUUCAUAAAAUUUCUUUUUUAAUUUUAAAAAUUGAAAUUAAUUUUAUAUGUGAAGAAACAAUAAUAAAAAUUAAGGACAAGAAGACCCUAAGAAUUUUAAAAAUUUCAAUAAAAUGCUGUAUUUUAUUGAAAUUUUUUAAUUGGGGCGAUUAUUAAAUAUUAAAAACUUUAAUUUUUUUAAAAAAGAACCAAUAAUAUUGGUUAUUUGAAAAAAUACUCUAGGGAUAACAGCGUAAUAAUUUUUGAUAGUUCUUAUAGACAAAAUAGUUUGCGACCUCGAUGUUGGAUUAGGAUUCUUUUUUAAUGAAGAAGUUAAAAAAAGAAGUUUGUUCAACUUUUAAAAUCCU